Non-coding RNA from Xyrichtys novacula (pearly razorfish), 5742 nucleotides. NCBI's taxonomy places the organism in Eukaryota, Metazoa, Chordata, Actinopteri, Labriformes, Labridae. The record is from the annotation of a GenBank genome assembly.
GGGUUUGACAGCAGGAUGACUCCCUAUUUUUCUCAGAUUGGACAGAAACCAAGAGUCCAACUGUUUGAUGGUUGUUUCUAACAUAACACUCUUGCAAAAACUAGGGGUAGGGUUCAGGUGACCAUGAAGAGAUGUGAGAUAGUCCCUGUGGCAUCUUGUCUGAGGGUUUCAAAGCCAAAGCACUGACCAAAUUAUUAAUGAAACGAGGCUCAGCAGGGUUAUGUUUCCAUCUGAUCUCCAAAACAAAGAUCGUCCAAGACCAGGAUUGGAUCUCUGCUUAUGUCCAGUAAAUUACCACGACAGUGCCAACAGUAUAAGAGAGCCAGGCGUUUCCUGUAAAGGCAGAAAGAGAAACACAAGCAGGAGGGCAAUCACCUCAUUCUGGGAGGCUGAGGCUGGGGUCAGUUAGAGGAGGUGUGGGUGGUUAUUGGCUGGAGAAAAAAUAGGCAAGGGAGAUCAGGGAUAUUAUGGGUGGUAGUGGUAUAUGAUUGGUUGGAGUGUAAAAAAGCAGAAUUGGUCGAUGCAGACGUGAACCCUAUGAGUAGUAAAUGAUUAAGUUUGUGGUGUUGUCUUUAGUUCUUGAGGUCUGAAACUCUCUGUCGUGUAAAAAUGCUCCUGCAGCAAAAUGACCAAGACCUUUUUUAUUUUUCUCCACUUGCACUAUUCCCUCCCGUCAACCAUAAUGUUUAAUCUCCUGAAUGAAAUUGUAGAAUUGUACAUUGUAUUUCUACAAACAUGAAGUCAUACAAUCCCUAGUUUAUGGUAUCAAGAACAACCCAGGUUGAGUAUAAUGAGUCUGCGGUUCAUGAUCGAUGUAGGUGAUGAUAUAUUUAAUGGGAUCAUUAUCACUGAAGCUGUGGGACAGGGCUGGAAACAGAUACAAGCGCAGAUGUGCCUCUUUCAAUCAUUCAGGACAUUAACAAUGCAUCACAGAUUGAUCUAUUGGAAAAUCAAAGCAAGCAUUGUAUGAUCUCACCAGUGGUCUGACAUUUAAAACAAGCAACAAACAAGCCCUGCAAGGACAUCGUUGACAUACAAAUCAACCUGACCUUGAUUUACCCGCCGCAUACAGUACGUGUAUCUCAUUUGAUUGGAUUUGAGACCAGUGAGCAGUUUUUGGUCUGGAUGAUAUCUUUGAGGACUUAGCUGAAUAUUACAGAGUCAGACAGGACAGAUGACAAUUUAGCUCCUAUGGGAUUGUUUAUUUUUAAAUCAGUAAAGAUAACAGCAUGCAGGCCUAAUGCCAUCUGAAGCGACGCCAUAAAAAUGUGACUUCUCAUUUGAAACUAUCAAAUGAAAAUAAAAUUAUGCGAAGGAAAGAAUUAGAGCUGCAACAGAUUAAAUCUUCUGAUUUAUAUACUGUAUAUAUUUUUUUCUUCAAAAUAAUCCAAUUUAAAGAAUAAAACCAAAAAUAAGUAGAUUUCGCUGAGCAGUAAUGAGUAUCUGGAGUCUGGGGUUGCUCUUUUCUCUUAGAGACUCAUGUUGUUGUUCAGUAACAAAGUGGGAAGAAAGUAAGUCCUUUUUAUUCUAGUUGAUAAAUAAAAUAUGAUUAUGAACACACACACACACACACACACACACACACACACACACACACACACACACACACACACACACACACACACACUCAGUAGUCUUUUUUUUAAAUCUGUCCCCAUACACUGUCAUACUGAGGUUGGUCCACAUGAAAGACAACAGACAGGUAUGGAUUCAUAGAUAUAAAUUAUUUAUAACCAAUGCAAUGUCCACUACUUUUAGUAAUGUUGGAUAAAAUGCGCACAUUCCUGUUUCCAUGACAUCAAGCCCUUUUUAAGUUUAUGCAUUUUAAUACAGUUUCUGUUGCAAUUAGAUCGUGGGGUGGGAAUGAGAGGUUGGGCUGGGGUUGAUUUGGUUAUUCUUGUAAUCUUGGGUUGGGGUAAAUUUGUGUAUUCUUUGUUUCUUUUAUUCCUUUUUCUGUGUGAAGCACUUUGUGCUACAUGUUAUGUAUGAAAAGUGCUAUAAAAAUAAAGACUGAUAGAUUGAUUGAUUGAAAAUCCCAUGCAUGGCUCUUUAAUGAGAUUACCUAGCUAUCAGUCUGAACAAUAUCAUACUAAACUCAACAUUGUACAAAUCCAUAGAAGUGUGUCAGGAAGAAUAUGGUCAAGGGGACAGCAACUUGAUUAUUUUAUGGAUUGCUCCUUUAAAAGUAUUAAUGGUAUUGUUGGUGUCUGUUCAUCCAUUAUCUUAGGUUACCAACAAUAUUAUACUUCGUAUUACAUUGGCUGAUAUUGAGGCUAUUGGUGUUACUGCUGAAUAAGUGACCCUGUAGUGUGGAGAUGUGCCGUCUGUUACCAUGACAACUGCAUUAUCAUUCUGCUAAAAGUUGCGAGUGUACAGGCGGGCUGUAAAAUCACACUCCUGGUUGUCAUCCUCAAUCCUGAGGCAGGAUGACAAACCUUUCUCGUGUGCCAGGAAUUUACUACAAAGAAAUUAACAAUGGUCAAAAUUAUCAACAAAAUUCAGAAUAAAAAGUAUUAUUAAAAUGAUAUAGCAACAGGAUUGAAAAGUUAUUUGGAAGUUAGACAUGCACUGCAUUGAACAUAUCAUAUUGUUGGCUUGUGAACAUGAUGUAAAAACAGACAGCAACAUAACCAUUAAUACCCCAAAGUAGUCAUCUAUAAAAUAGUCAAUUUACAUGCACAUUCAUAUAUCUUUACUCCAUUGUAUCUGUUGUAUGAUUUUUGUGUUGAGGAUAGGUUUGGGAUCAUUUCUUUCUUUCUCAAUUUCUUUUUUACCUGAAACUGUGAGUUGGUAUUAAAGAGAGAUGCAGCAGCUGUGUUGUAAAUAUAUUGUCAAGUAAGGCCUGGGAAAUAAGGACUACAAACCCCAGCGACACAGGUAAGUGUUGGGAGACACCAUUUCCUGUCUGUUAGUCUGAUGACCUGUUGAUUGUGGAAUUGGGGAAACCUGUUCAUACAUGGGAUGAACUAAGACCAUGUUUACACAUGCCCAGCUAUUUUUAUAAACUGACAUUUCACCUCCUCUGUUUACAAAUAAAAAAAAAACAAACCUGCAUGCACACAACUUUCCAGAAAAGUUGUCGUUUACACUAACGCCUAUAUAUAUGCCGACUGACAGCAGCGAUGUCCAUGACAUCCAGGAAUUUUCACACCACUCCUCCGGCAGAACCACUUCAUUUUUAAAGUUCUCCCACCUGACAACAGUGCGUCCAGGUCGGACCGUGGCUGGCAAUGGCACGGACACACUCUUCGUGUCGGAUGGAGAAGUUGCUGCAACAUUGCUGACCUUAGAGCACUCAGUCGUCUCCGCUGCUCUUCAAAGUACAGCACUUGUAUUUGCAAAUACAAACAAAUGGAAAGGGAUUGCACCAGCAGAAAUACGACUGCUAUUCUGCAUGCAUCCAUGAUCAUCAUAGACUGAAAACAUAGACUGUAAACUAUAAACAACGGCACAUUUAACCAAUGUUUCCUGCGCACAAUCUGCCAUCGGCUACCCAAAUCUCCGUUUUUCUCUGUUUUUACAUUUUUACAAAAUAUCCACUCUGGCCGGAGUUUUUAAACAGCACCUUCUUCAGUGGCAAAUUCUUCGUUUGUGUCUAAAUGAAGGGUGCAAACAAUGGUUAAUAUACAUUUUUAAAAAUAACUAGGGAUGUAUAAACAGGGCCUUAGUCCAUGCAAAGAGAUGAAGUGGUAUAGUUUGGCCUGCACUGUGCAGCUUUUCACAUGAAUUUGGCCAGCGUGUUUGUAUACCUGCACCACCAUCUCCGCCAUCUUUCCACCACCACACCAAAACCUGAAUGAAACCUUCCAGAUGGAGCUGGCAGCUCAUGGGAGCAGAGGACUGUGCUCAUCGGGACACUGUGGUAGAAGUCCAGACUCCAUGCCUGGUGAGCACAGCUGUCAUUUUCAGUCUUAUCAAUUAAUAGGCUGAGAAAUUACCACAGUUAGUCAGAAUAUUGAGGUUUAAACAACUUGUGACCUGGAACACUAUUUUAAAACAUGAUAAAGAUAUGAGUUUCUUACCGUGAGCGUAGCUGCCAUGGAAGUACAGUACACAAAGGGCCAUAAAACUCUGAUUGUUCUCUUUCUGAACAAUUUCCACACCUGAAGUAACUUCUUUCUCAUUGUCCUCCUCCCUCCCUUUGUUUAAAAAAACAGAAAUCACUCAUGCAAGCAAAGUUUAAGAGAGAUGAAAGCAUUGUAAAUUACACAAUGGCAGCUUCCAUGGGAGUUAAUUUUGUUAAAAACCAAACCUUCUCAAAAUGCAAAAACUAUUGAUGUUUAUUUGUACUGGCUCAAGCCUUGGCAAAUUUUCCUCAAUUUUCUAAAGUGGAUACCUAACCGAGCUUGCAGAUGUCUUUGAUUUGUCUCUCAGAGAGGUCAGGAAACUGGGCCUCCUCUUUGCCAUUGCCAAGUCAAAGCUCCAGCAUCCUGGGCAGGAGCCAAAUACAUCUCCUCUGACAGUUUCUUUCUUUAUCCAAUUUUAGAAAUGAAAGAGUUUGAGUCACUUUGAGAGCAAAUUUGAAUGUCUUCUUCCACCACAUAGAAGUCAUGCUUGUGAAGCAUCUGUUCGGACCACAAGCCACUUGGCCCACAGACAAAACAGGAGUAACCAGUUGUGACACACCAGACGGAGUAGUUACUGUAUGUGGCUGCAAACAGGAAAGGUCACUUACCUCUGCAGAUAGAGGGACCGUGGUCCAUAUUUCAUGAGUUCAGACUCAGCAUCUGCAUGCCCAGGUCCACUAAGUACCAAGCCCUGAAUAUUUUCAGCUGUGUGCUAAAGCCAAAUGUGAAGAACAACUCCUCAUAUGGAGAGGGAAUGAGAAAAAAAACAACAACACUUGACUGAUUCACAAAAGGAUGAAGACUUGUAUGAAGAAAAUUACCCAGAGAGUACCAAGCAGGUUCCAAGAAGCAAUGACUGAAAGGUCAGUUUCUAGGAACUGCAGGGAAAAGUGGUAGCUGUGAAAAAAAGAAAAAUACCCAGGUAAUUGCGAGAUAAGGAGUGCUUUUUACUUGUCUGCAUGGAUCUGUCCUCAGAAAGAUGACCAAAGGAGCAAUGAAUGGAGUUUAUUUGAUGUAACAACUGAGCACAAGAGGCUGAUACUCCAGAGUCUACGAUCUAUUCAUGUGAGAGCCAUAAUGCUUUUUGUCAGUGACUAUUUCAGCCAGUUAGUGUGUUAAUGAAUUUGUUUUUUUAAAUAGAACUGAUAAAAGUCAUUGCUCAGAAAAUGUACCUUUUUUUUUUUUAUCUUUAAUGAGUUUUCAUUCUGCUUUCUUUAGUUCAAAGUCACACUUUCUUUAGUUUACAGUCACACUCAUCCUAUUCUCAUGGCAAAGUGUUUUGACACGUAGCUUCAUGCAAACUUGGGCUUGUGUCAGCACCUAUGGAUGUUGGCUUCAAAAUGCGGUGUGAUCAAGCACAAAAAUGGCAAGAUAGUAAGAGUUCACAAUGCACAUUCCUCUUUUUUUUCACAGAGAGCUGCACAGAAGCACUCACAUGAGGAAAUAACAUCUUUUUUUUUUUUUUUCUAAAAGAGUAAAACUGAAUGUUUAUUGGGACAGACAGCUUGGAGACACAUAUUUUCCCUCAUUUCCAUACACUAUAAUACAGAAUGGUGCCCAUUUCAGAACACGAGAAGAUACUGAUGACUUCAUUGCAACUCUUCACAGACCAGUUUAACCACAAGCCAAAUUAUCAAGACCAGGGCAUCGACAAGCUCUCCACCAUGCACACUCU